RNAcentral lists this ribosomal RNA (1490 nucleotides) under uncultured organism. Its description in RNAcentral is "partial 16S ribosomal RNA". It matches the Rfam family "Bacterial small subunit ribosomal RNA". The record is from RNAcentral.
GGCUCAGAAUGAACGCUGGCGGCGUGCUUAACACAUGCAAGUCGCACGAGAACACCUCAGCUUGCUGGGGUAAGUAAAGUGGCGCACGGGUGAGUAACGCGUGGGUAAUCUGCCCUCGAAUCUGGGAUAACCCCGCGAAAGCGGGGCUAAUACCGGAUGAAAUCCAGUUAGCUUUGGCUAUAUGGAUCAAAGGUGGCCUCUGCAUGCAAGCUACUGUUUGGGGAUGAGCCCGCGUACCAUUAGCUUGUUGGUGGGGUAAAGGCCCACCAAGGCGACGAUGGUUAGCUGGUCUGAGAGGAUGAUCAGCCACACUGGAACUGGAACACGGUCCAGACUCCUACGGGAGGCAGCAGUGAGGAAUUUUGCGCAAUGGGGGUAACCCUGACGCAGCAACGCCGCGUGAGUGAUGAAGGCCUUCGGGUCGUAAAGCUCUGUCAAGUGGGAAGAACCCAUUCCGGCACAACAAGCCGGGGUGCUGACGGUACCACUGAAGGAAGCACCGGCUAACUCCGUGCCAGCAGCCGCGGUAAUACGGAGGGUGCGAGCGUUAUUCGGAAUUACUGGGCGUAAAGGGCGCGUAGGCGGCCGAUUAAGUCAGAUGUGAAAUCCCGGGGCUUACCCCCGGAAGUGCAUUUGAUACUGAACGGCUUGAGUAUGGGAGAGGGAAGUGGAAUUCCUGGUGUAGCGGUGAAAUGCGUAGAUAUCAGGAGGAACACCGGUGGCGAAGGCGACUUCUGGCAGCUUACCGACGCUGAGGUACGAAAGGUAGGGUAGCAAACAGGAUUAGAGACCCUGGUAGUCCUACCUGUAAACGUUGUAUACUAGGUGGUGGAAGUUUAAUAUCUUUCUCUGCCGGAGUUAACGCAUUAAGUAUACCGCCUGGGGAGUAUGCCGGCAACGGUGAAACUCAAAGGAGUUGACGGGGCCCCGCACAAGCAGUGGAGCAUGUUGAUUAAUUCGAUGAUACGCGAGGAACCUUACCAGGUCUUGACAUAUAUCUGACGCACAUAGAGAUAUGUGUUCUCUUUUGAGCAGAUAUACAGGUGCUGCAUGGUUGUCGUCAGCUCGUGCCGUGAGGUGUUGGGUUAAGUCCCGCAACGAGCGCAAUCCCUAUUCUUUGUUGCUAACGGGUAAUGCUGAGCACUCGAAGGAAACUGCCGGUGACAAACCGGAGGAAGGUGGGGAUGAGGUCAAAUCAUCACGGCCCUUAUGACCUGGGCUUCAAACGUGCUACAAUGGGUGGUACAAAGAGUAGCCAACCUGUGAAGGGGAGCCAAUCUCAAAAAGCCACCCCAAGUUCGGAUUGGAGUCUGCAACUCGACUCCAUGAAGUUGGAAUUGCUAGUAAUCGCACAUCACCAUGGUGCGGUGAAUAUGUUCCCGGGGCUUGUACACACCGCCCGUCACAUCACCCGAGUUGAUAUACCCGAAGUAUCCGGGCUACCCAUUUAGGGGGGCAGGUCCGAAGGUAUGUUUGGCAAGGGGGAUGAA